AUUAAGGUGGCAGAGCCGGUAAUUGCAUAAAACUUAAGCCUUUAUAAUCAGAGGUUCAAAUCCUCUCCUUAAUA
RNAcentral lists this transfer RNA (74 nucleotides) under Osphranter rufus (red kangaroo). RNAcentral's name for it is "tRNA-Leu". It matches the Rfam family "tRNA". Rfam says of the family: Transfer RNA (tRNA) molecules are approximately 80 nucleotides in length. The record is from RNAcentral. Lineage: Eukaryota; Metazoa; Chordata; Mammalia; Diprotodontia; Macropodidae.